GGAUAGCUCAGAUGGUAGA
This 19-nucleotide transfer RNA is filed under the name Coffea mannii. RNAcentral's name for it is "partial tRNA-Phe". The record is from RNAcentral. Lineage: Eukaryota; Viridiplantae; Streptophyta; Magnoliopsida; Gentianales; Rubiaceae. RNAcentral also lists the same sequence under 1 other name.